This 136-nucleotide small nuclear RNA is filed under the name Erinaceus europaeus (western European hedgehog). RNAcentral describes it as "7SK RNA". It matches the Rfam family "7SK RNA", at positions 200 to 331 of the family's 331-position model. Rfam says of the family: 7SK was discovered as an abundant small nuclear RNA in the mid-70s but a possible function has only recently been suggested. Lineage: Eukaryota; Metazoa; Chordata; Mammalia; Eulipotyphla; Erinaceidae. The record is from Rfam by way of RNAcentral.
AAUUGUUUUUCUUUAAAAAAAAAAAAAUCUAAACAAGCUCUCAAGGUCCAUUUGUAGGAGACCGUAGGGUAGUCAAGCUUCCAAGACUCCAGACACAUCCAAAUGAGGCACUGCAUGUGGCAGUCUGCCUUUCUUU